AUUGAACGCUGGCGGCAUGCUUUACACAUGCAAGUCGAACGGUAACAGGCCGCAAGGUGCUGACGAGUGGCGAACGGGUGAGUAAUGCAUCGGAACGUGCCCAGUCGUGGGGGAUAACUACUCGAAAGAGUAGCUAAUACCGCAUACGAUCUAUGGAUGAAAGCGGGGGACCGUAAGGCCUCGCGCGAUUGGAGCGGCCGAUGUCAGAUUAGGUAGUUGGUGGGGUAAAGGCUCACCAAGCCAACGAUCUGUAGCUGGUUUGAGAGGACGACCAGCCACACUGGGACUGAGACACGGCCCAGACUCCUACGGGAGGCAGCAGUGGGGAAUUUUGGACAAUGGGCGCAAGCCUGAUCCAGCAAUGCCGCGUGCAGGAAGAAGGCCUCGGUUGGUAAC
This 396-nucleotide ribosomal RNA is filed under the name uncultured bacterium. Its description in RNAcentral is "bacterial SSU rRNA". It matches the Rfam family "Bacterial small subunit ribosomal RNA", at positions 30 to 430 of the family's 1533-position model. The record is from RNAcentral.